Arachis ipaensis is the source of this 613-nucleotide long non-coding RNA. RefSeq lists it as uncharacterized. The record is from RefSeq and is a predicted model, not a curated record. NCBI's taxonomy places the organism in Eukaryota, Viridiplantae, Streptophyta, Magnoliopsida, Fabales, Fabaceae.
UCCAUAAACCCUAAUUUUAAUGUUCAUUCAUACAAAAAAAACACAUCUAAAGAACAAAAAAAAUUCAGAAGUAUUGUUCUAGUGUUCUUCAUCUUCCCUGGAUUUUCUUACAUCUCUCUCAAAGAACGUCUCUCUCCAAAUUCUCUCUUCUCUCUCACACUAGCCCACUACAGUCUCUUUCAGUCUCACUCGAAUCUCGUCUCAGUCACACUCGCCGGCGUCUCCACUUGUCGCGGCCUUCCCUGGGAUCCUCGUCGCCGACGAUAGAAGCAACUCGUCGGGUCGUCGUCGCUCGUCGUCUUCUGGUUUCGGGACCUCGCCGUCGCCGAGUCACCGUAGACCGUAGUCCGUUGGUUUGGGUAAAGUGGGGAGAGAGACGCCAGUUCAUUGCCCAGAACAAGCUAGGAAUGUCACAAUACACAUAUUUCAUAACAAUUUGAUCACCGGUGAAAACUCAUACAGCAAACUCUCUUGUUGAUUUGAGGAGCUGUUUAAUUUAGCCAACUCAGAUUUAAGUGCCACUUCUCAGUACCAAUUUAGCAUUACCGGUUUUGAGCUCUAUAAUGAAUAGGUCCUGUUCUCUUUUACUUACUGUAUACAACUUUUCUGGUAU